Long non-coding RNA from Triticum aestivum (bread wheat), 1082 nucleotides. RefSeq lists it as uncharacterized. The transcript is spliced from 3 exons. The record is from RefSeq and is a predicted model, not a curated record. NCBI's taxonomy places the organism in Eukaryota, Viridiplantae, Streptophyta, Magnoliopsida, Poales, Poaceae.
GGAUGUUUCUGGCCGUCUGAUCUCGUGUAAACAGGCAUCUGUCCCGCAUGUGUUAUGCAGUGGCCCAGCUGUCCUAAUGGGCUGCUACUCCCGCAGCCGAAACGAAGAAAUCUGGUCAACUGGGCCUGUUCGGCCAGCCCAUAAGAAAUCUGAUUCGUGCGCUGGUUUUCUUUUUUCCAGAACGACGUGGGAUGCAGAGGAGAGGAUCUGCCAGAGGCGAUGCAGAUACAGAGGAGAGGGAUCGACCGGAGUUGCGGGCGCAGGAUCCGGGUCGAGCCUAGGCGCAGCGGCGCUCGAUACAGAGGAUGCGACGCGGGAUACAGAGGGGCGGGCGGUUUGUGUCGAUCGAGUGGAGGCGCGGGAUCCAGCCGAGGCGCUCGAGCGGAGGCGCGGGAGGAUGAUGCCCUUCCCUUCGCGCCCCACUCCCGCCGCCGGCCACAUCUGGCCGCCUCAGAACUCCUCGCCCUCAUGUCUUGCUUCAUAUGUUCCCAUCCCCAUCCCUUCUGCAGGAUGUGCUCGACGGCGUGUGCGCCAACGCACGGUGAGGUCAGGCAGCUGGUAGAGUAUAUUGGUUAGUUGACAAAGACUGCAACUGCAACGGAACAUGUAGGAAGCAUGUGCAACUCUCCUAACCUCAGGCAGCCUCCAUCUGUUCCAGCCUCAGGCAGAAGCAGUGUUUGCUUGCUCUGCUUCACAACGAUGCUUGGUCCAUGUCUCUCCCAUGACAACCGCCUAGGGAAAACGAUAACCAUCUGGACCAUGUUGGCACUAGAUGGUGUAGCGUUAGCGUAGCAUAACUUGUACUCCCUUCAUCCCAAAUUACUUGUCACAGAAAUGAAUAAAAAUGAAUGUAUCUAGAACUAAAAUACAUCUAGGUACAUCCAUUUCUCCGACAAGUAUUUCCGGACGGAGGGAGUAUGUAUUUCCUGAUGCCUCUCAACCAUAUACGUACAACAAGUGAACAUCAAGAUAGUACAGGCCUUCAGUUCAGAUUUGCUCUCCAAUGCCAAAAACAAAAUAAAAAAUAUCCUCUAGGCAUGUGUGCAUAUAGGAUAUUGGUUUAUGGAAAGGUUGGACAUCAA